Molecule: ribosomal RNA, 1986 nt
Filed under: Triticum aestivum (bread wheat)
Lineage: Eukaryota; Viridiplantae; Streptophyta; Magnoliopsida; Poales; Poaceae
Description: partial small subunit ribosomal RNA
Source: RNAcentral
CGUAACUUUGCCCGACGCUCGACGCAACGGCAAAGCGACGUACGCCCAACGGAAGCGGAGGCCGAGGCCACGAACCACAAAACCAGGCCAUCGCCCCCAACAACAAACGUGCGAAGCUACCAGAAAACAGAAGCAAACGCGCAAGGACAAGCAAGUGGCCUCCCAUUUGUUCCUCGUCGCCUCCGCUUUCCCAACCCCCACUGCCCCCCAGCCAAAUCCACCGCCGGAUUCCGCUGCCGCGCCGCCGAUCCCUCCACCGUCCAUGGCGAUCGGGCCCGGCAGCCGACUCCCCGACCUCCCAUUCUCCCGAUUCGGAAUUUGAUAAGGUUUAGCGGCCUCUCCGCCUCCCGCAGCUCGAUUGCUGAUUUGGUCGGGGGGAGGGAAUCUUCUGCGGCUGCCGCUUCUGCUGAAUUGCUCUCUGGGCGGGCGGGGGUAGGGAGGGAUGGGGAUGCUGUUCCUGGAGUACCUCCCGGGGCCCAAGGUGUUCAAGUGCAAGUUCUGCAGGGUUGACUCGGCGUCGCCUGACGACAUCGUGUCCAAGGAGUUCCGUGGCCGCCACGGCCGCGCCUACCUCUUUGAUAGCGUGUGAGCUGAGCCAUCUCUCUCUCUUCACCUUCUUCUGUUUUGCUGUUUUCCGCGCGUGGAUCGUGCGAUCAUUGCAAUGCCGCUGUUCUAGAAAUGCUUUUCAGUUGCUGGCAUUACGAGAUAGCAGUAGUUAAGUCGUGGCGUGCCAAGUUAUAUGCAUUGCUGGUAACAACACUGAUUUAAGUUCGGCAUAGUUGCAAGAUUAUUGUUUUGUACUAGUAAUGUUGUUUCCUUGGGGUUUUGCUUGUGAUUUUGGGUGAAAAAUUAUGAUUGUUAUUAGUACUAAUUAUGAGUGCAAGAAUGUGAUGAUGGAUCCGAUAUGGUUAUGUUUGAUUUGAGCAGCAUUGAAUCCUCUGAAUCAUGAUGAAUAUGAAUCAAACGAGUUCUGGCACCCUAUCUCGAAAGGUAAUAAAUGAGUUUGGUAAUCAACCCGGGCAAAAUUGUAUGUAUUGUUACAGACCUUAUGGUCAACCUGGUGAGCUAUGUCGAUCUUAGGCUAGAGAGUUAAAAUUUGGAGGCUAAGUAGCCUAAAUUGCACAGUUGAUGUCACUUGAUUUACAAGAUCAUGCUUUACUACCAAUGGAGAUAUGCAACUCAAUCUAUGAAGUGAGAGAGCUUGAUCAGGACCAGUUGUUUCUGAAUAUGAAUUGCUUCUUAGCCCAUUUUCAUCUUUAUGUUGCUGACCAACUAUCAAAAGUUAACUUCACGGAGAGCUCACAUUUUGUGAAUUCAGUAGACCUGCUAAUGAAGUAUCCUUGACUUUCUUCAUUGGCCCAAAUAUUGAGUUACUUUCAAUAAAUUAUGUAAUGAGGCAACAGUUCCAUAUUAUCUAGGAAUCAUAGAUGUCAAAUAGAAAAGUAUGGUUAUUAACAUUACAUGAACUAGUAAUUGACCAUUGAACAUCUGAACUACCAAGCUUUUGCUAAUUAUUGUUGACAUGUUAAUCUGGGCUGAAUGUGACAUCCAGGGUGAAUGUGAGCCUUGGUCCCAAUGAGGAUCGCCAUCUCUUGACUGGAUUGCAUACAGUGAACGAUAUCUACUGUAGCUGCUGCCAACGACUCCUUGGCUGGAAAUAUGCGAAAGCCUACAACGAAGACCAGAAGUACAAAGAAGGAAAGUUCAUACUAGAGAAGAACAUGAUGCUGAAAGAAGGACGUUAGCUGGCGGGAAAUGAUGGUCUGCUGUCAAAGUCUGCAAAAGCAGACAUUCGCAACUGCGAACUGUAGCCAAAGAUUCGUCUACUAGUUUCCUGAAAAUAUUGAUUAUUCUGGUGACGGCCAUCACCACGAAAAUGCAUUUGUGAAAUCUGUUGCCCUAUUACGUUUGCUCGGCUGGCCUCUGAAAUGUACUCUGUUACCAGUUUUUCUUGAUUCAACCGUGGAGGUUCACAGAUGUCAGGUU